CCUACGGGAGGCAGCAGUGAGGAAUAUUGGACAAUGGGCGCAAGCCUGAUCCAGCCAUGCCGCGUGCAGGAAGACGCAUCUAUGGUGUGUAAACUGCUUUUGUACGGGAAGAAACACUCCUUCGUGAAGGAGCUUGACGGUACCGUAAGAAUAAGGAUCGGCUAACUCCGUGCCAGCAGCCGCGGUAAUACGGAGGAUCCAAGCGUUAUCCGGAAUCAUUGGGUUUAAAGGGUCCGUAGGCGGUUUAAUAAGUCAGUGGUGAAAUCUGGUCGCUCAACGAUCAAACGGCCAUUGAUACUGUUAGACUUGAAUUACUAGGAAGUAACUAGAAUAUGUAGUGUAGCGGUGAAGUGCUUAGAUAUUACAUGGAAUACCAAUUGCGAAGGCAGGUUACUACUAGUGGAUUGACGCUGAUGGACGAAAGCGUGGGGAGCGAACAGGAUUAGAUACCCUGGUAGUCCACGCCGUAAACGAUGGAUACUAGCUGUUGGGCGCAAGUUCAGUGGCUAAGCGAAAGUGAUAAGUAUCCCACCUGGGGAGUACGUUCGCAAGAAUGAAACUCAAAGGAAUUGACGGCNGAGAGNGACGAGACGACGACGAGGGAGGAGG
This 609-nucleotide ribosomal RNA is filed under the name uncultured bacterium. RNAcentral's name for it is "bacterial SSU rRNA". It matches the Rfam family "Bacterial small subunit ribosomal RNA", at positions 338 to 951 of the family's 1533-position model. The record is from RNAcentral.